AUUGGGCCCGACGUCGCAUGCUCCCGGCCGCCAUGGCGGCCGCGGGAAUUCGAUUUUACCGCGGCUGCUGGCACGGAGUAGCCGGAGCUUAUUCUCCAGGUACUGUCAUUAUCAUCCCUGGUAAAAGAGCUUUACGACCCGAAGGCCUUCAUCACUCACGCGGCAUUGCUGGAUCAGGCUUUCGCCCAUUGUCCAAUAUUCCCCACUGCUGCCUCCCGUAGGAGUCUGGGCCGUGUCUCAGUCCCAGUGUGGCUGAUCAUCCUCUCAGACCAGCUAAGGAUCGUCGGCUUGGUAGGCCUUUACCCCACCAACUACCUAAUCCUACGCGGGCUCAUCCUUUGCCGAUAAAUCUUUGGUCCGAAGACAUCAUCCGGUAUUAGCAGUCAUUUCUAACUGUUAUUCCGAAGCAAAGGGCAGAUUCCCACGCGUUACGCACCCGUGCGCCACUAACCCCGAAGGGUUCGUUCGACUUGCAUGUGUUAGGCAUGCCGCCAGCGUUCGUUCUGAGCCAUGAUCAAACUCUAAUCACUAGUGAAUUCGCGGCCGCCUGCAGGUCGACCAUAUGGGAGAGCUCCCAAC
Molecule: ribosomal RNA, 579 nt
Filed under: uncultured Alphaproteobacteria bacterium
Lineage: Bacteria; Pseudomonadati; Pseudomonadota; Alphaproteobacteria
Description: partial 16S ribosomal RNA
Source: RNAcentral